This 429-nucleotide ribosomal RNA is filed under the name uncultured Sinobacteraceae bacterium. Its description in RNAcentral is "bacterial SSU rRNA". It matches the Rfam family "Bacterial small subunit ribosomal RNA", at positions 355 to 776 of the family's 1533-position model. The record is from RNAcentral. Lineage: Bacteria; Pseudomonadati; Pseudomonadota; Gammaproteobacteria; Nevskiales; Nevskiaceae.
UGGGGAAUAUUGGACAAUGGGGGAAACCCUGAUCCAGCGACGCCGCGUGGGUGAAGAAGGCCUGCGGGUUGUAAAGCCCUUUCGGUAGGGAAGAAAUCUCUUGCUCUAACAAAGCAAGGGUUUGACUUAACCUACAUAAGAAGCACCGGCUAACUCUGUGCCAGCAGCCGCGGUAAUACAGAGGGUGCGAGCGUUAAUCGGAAUUACUGGGCGUAAAGCGCACGUAGUCGGCUUGCCAAGUCGGGUGUGAAAUCCCCGGGCUCAACCUGGGAACUGCAUCCGAAACUGGCUUGCUAGAGUAUGGGAGAGGGAGGCGGAAUUUCUGGUGUAGCAGUGAAAUGCGUAGAUAUCAGAAGGAACAUCAGUGGCGAAGGCGGCCUCCUGGACCAAUACUGACGAUCAGGUGCGAAAGCGUGGGGAGCAAACAGG